Helianthus annuus (common sunflower) is the source of this 3516-nucleotide RNA transcript. It is a transcript of the gene named DNA polymerase I A, chloroplastic/mitochondrial-like, with no coding region annotated. Lineage: Eukaryota; Viridiplantae; Streptophyta; Magnoliopsida; Asterales; Asteraceae. The transcript is spliced from 10 exons. The record is from RefSeq and is a predicted model, not a curated record.
CGGAUAUAUAUAAAAGCCACGGAGACAACUUUCUCUCCUAUUCCCCCUGUAAACCCUAACAGAAAACUUCACCGCCGGUUUCAUCUGCUGCUUCAUUCUUCUUCUUCACGAUUACAAGAUCCCCUUUCUAAUGUUCAUCCUUCUCAUCUCAAUUAUUGGUAUCAUCACCUACCGACAUCUUCACUUUUCUUUCUCAUUCUCCCUCUCAAAAUUCUUCUGCAUAUGCUUGAUUUUAACAAUUAAUCAAACAAGAUCAAAGAAUAAUCAUCCCUGACUCGGUUUUUGGCGUUGGACGUUGGCGAUGGUGGAAAUCCUUUGUUUCAGUAUUUGGUGAUGAUGGGGAGGACAGAUUCGCCGCUGUCACCAUUUUGUUGUUCCGUGUUCGUCUUCGAAUCCUUUAGGGUUUAUGGACGACAGUUAACGAUGGCGGCUCUGGUUUCAAUUGGUAUUGGUCUGUGGCUUGGUCACUUUGUGUUUCAAUAUGUUUGGUCACUUUGUUUUCAGUAUCAUUUCUAGAUGCUCACUUUAAUCUCUAUAAUUCUAAAGAUCUAAAAAAUGUAAAAGAAUUCUAAAAAAAUAAAAAGACCUAAAAGAAUAACUGCACAAUUCCAUUAGAUCUCUGAUGUUUGCUGAUGUUUGGAUGCCGUUGAAUAGAUAGUUUAUGCAUUUACUUUUUCAACUUUCAUGUUGCAAGCUUUCAUGGCCUUUGGGAUCACAUCUGUGGUAGAUAUUGCAUUAUCAUUCUAGCGUAGUUUGAUCCGUAUGAAACAAACAAUGCUCAUGAAUCAGAAGUUGUUUGUCCACGUGAACUGGUAAGUUUAAUUUGUAUGAACUAUUUGUUGGGAGUGGUAUAUAAACUAAAUUUGUUAUUGGCCCACUAUUUGCAUUUGUUUAGGGGUAUAAGGUUACCACGAUAUCUCAUAACCUCACUUUUCACAAACCCUACAUACCAUUUCCUAAUCUGCUUCUUCAUUUUUCAGAGAUUCAUCGUCGUUGAUGAGAUUGAUUCAUAAGGACGACAAUGUUUUGAUGUUUUCUUCAUCUUCAUGGUUUGUUUGUGCCCUUUCGUAUCCACCUCCACCGAAACUCUAAUCGACUAGAGAAAUCGCCAAAAGUUCUUCACGAUAUGGUUAGUUUCUUCUCUCAAUUUUGUUAUUCAAUCAUUGAAUCUGUUGUCAGCAUCAUGAUUAGCAUUCUCCCGUAAUCACAACAAAGCACAUGUACACCCCAUCCCCUUUGUUUGUUAUUCUUUAAAGGUUUUUGGGAUGUUUAGGAUUGGACAACUGUUAAUGCUUCAUUUUUUUGGUCAUUUUUUUACAUGAGUUCAUCAUCAUCAUUAGAUGUAUUGAUCAGGAAUAACAAAUUUUCAUCUAUUUUUCUCAUCCGAUUUGGUUUAAUUGCAGUUUGGUAGUCGUUUUCGAACAGGCCAGUAACAUAACAAAUUUUCAUCUAUUUUUCUCAUCCGAUUUGGUUUAAUGGCAGUUUGGUAGUCGUUUUCGAACAGGCCAGUAACAUUUUCCAAUCGCUAUUCUUGAUUGCUUAGUUUCUUUACUGUUUAAUUUAAUCUCACCUGUUCUUUAGAAUUCAAGGAUUUGUGAUUUUUUAAUGUGGAUUUUUUAUUAUUGUAGAUAUCGCAGUACUCGGUUAAGGAGAUUGUACAAAUCUUUGAAGUUCACCAAUAGGCGUGGAAAUUAACCACAAAAUCCAUUCCAUCAUCUACUGUUAGGAUCAUAAUUAUGGUUCUUUUAAUUUUCUAUUAUUUGAGUUAAUUGAUCGUAGUUUUCUUAAUCUUUAGGAUUUGAAAAUAAGACCGACGAGUUUGAACGAAGUACCUUCGGAUUCGACUAUGAAAGGUGUGGGCUUUGAUGGUGGUAGGUGGUUGUUGCCUGGUUGAAGUGGAAGGGACCACUGACACAAUAUCGAUAUCAGGACGAAUAUAUGCUUAUGGUGUUGUAAUUGGUUUGCAUUUUAUAUGAGUUCAGGAUCUGUUCAUCUACAACUGGUAAAACCUAUAAAACCGAACUGAACUCAACGCUGUCAUUGCUACUACUGCUUCUCCGAUGAAAUCAGUUCUGGUUAAUUCGUCGAUAUGCCAAUUUUUGUCAGACACUAGCAAGCCUGUAACUAUUGGCACAUGUGGCAGCCCAACAUGGUGAUCAGUCCAACCCAAAGUACUGGCACUCCUGGGGCUGCAUAGGAGUUUUUGCUGAGGUUAAAUUAGAACAGAAGAUGAAGACAAAAAGGUAAGCUUUUACUAAAAAUUUCCAUGGCUGUUGUAAUUAUAGAGUUUUUGUUGAGGUUAAAUUAGAACAGAAGAUGAAGACAAAAAGGUAAGCUUUUACUAAAAAUUUUCAGAAAUCGGGUAUAGGCGUGUGGCUGAUCAUCUUUGUAAAAAGGAGAUGAUGCGGUAAGAAACUCAAUAUUUAAGCUUUUACCUCAUGUAACCAAGGUGAUCGGGUCGCACAAAUUAUGUAAAGGGUCAAUCCAAAUUCUGGUUAAAAUGGGUCGCGCAGAUUAUUGACACUUUGGGUGAAUUUCGAGCUAUUUGACAUGAUUAUUUUUUAAGAAUCAGUAAAUUUUUCAUCAUAAGAUUUUAUGAUUUUAGGGACCUUGGGUUUUAAAACAAAGUGCUAGAGCCACUCUGUUGGAUAAGUUGAUUAAAAACCAAUUAGUUUUGAUCUGUAAGCAGGGUCAUUAGAUCAUGUAGCUUUAAUAUUUCAACUUCAUCUUUUUAACUUUUUAUUCUAUAUAUUAUUCAAACUUCAUCACGUGAAAAGGAAUUGUUGUAGGUAUACAUUUACGCUUUUUGACUUUUUAAUCUAUAUAUUAUUCAAACUUCAAAGUCAUAUAUGGUGUGACAAAUUUUUAACAUGUUUUAUUUGCAGCUACACGUGUCAUCCCGGACCCCAAUCAAAGAAAAACUUCCGAUCAUCAAUGACGAUGUUGCUCUUUAACCUCACUGUGUUUCUCCUGAUGUUGGAUAUGUAUGCUUCCGAAAGAAGAAAAGCGAAAAUGCUCAACUUUUCCAUUGCGUACGGGAAAACCCCCGUUGGUCUUGCACGUGAUUGGAAGGUUUUGGUAAACGAAUCAAAAGAAACAGUUAAAAGAUGGUAUAACGGCAGAGAAGAAGUGCUCAGAUGGCAAGAAGCCCGUAAAAAAGAAGCCCGGAGUAUUGGAUGUGUAUAUACACUGUUGGGCCGGGCCCGCACUUUCCCGUCCACAAAAAAACGCUACUCCGUCACAUAGAGGCCACAUUGAACGGGCCGCAAUUAAUACACCCGUUCAGGGUAGCGCUGCUGAUGUGGCGAUGUGUGCCAUGCUGGAAAUAUCCAAAAACGCUCGGUUGCGAGAGCUUGGGUGGAAGCUGCUCUUACAGGUCCAUGACGAAGUGAUACUGAAAGGGCCCACUGUCACACCCCCAAAAUCCACCAUGCGGAGUACUACCGCUUGGAGGCGUGACAUGACCAGGAUCGAGCCACCAAUCAUACUGAACUACGUAUUUAAGUAAUUAAAGCC